GAUGAACGCUGGCGGUAUGCCUAACACAUGCAAGUCGAACGAAUUCUUCGGAAUUAGUGGCGGACGGGUGAGUAACGCGUGAGAAUCUGCCUCUUGAAUGGGGACAACAGUUGGAAACGACUGCUAAUACCCAAUGAGCCGCAAGGUGAAAGAUUUAUCGUCAAGAGAGGAGCUCGCGUCCGAUUAGCUAGUUGGUGAGGUAAUGGCUUACCAAGGCGGCGAUCGGUAGCUGGUCUGAGAGGAUGAGCAGCCACACUGGGACUGAGACACGGCCCAG
RNAcentral lists this ribosomal RNA (277 nucleotides) under uncultured bacterium. RNAcentral's name for it is "partial 16S ribosomal RNA". It matches the Rfam family "Bacterial small subunit ribosomal RNA", at positions 28 to 334 of the family's 1533-position model. The record is from RNAcentral.